Molecule: unclassified non-coding RNA, 432 nt
Filed under: soil metagenome
Description: partial contains 5.8S ribosomal RNA, internal transcribed spacer 2, and large subunit ribosomal RNA
Rfam family: 5.8S ribosomal RNA (bases 1-120)
Source: RNAcentral
GAUGAAGAACGUAGCGAAAUGCGAUACGUAAUGUGAAUUGCAGAAUUCAGUGAAUCAUCGAAUCUUUGAACGCUUAUUGCGCUCUCUGGUAUUCCGGAGAGCAUGCUUGUUUGAGUAUCAGUAAACACCUCAACUUCCAUAUCUUUUUUGAAAUGGGAGUUGGACUUGAGUGAUCCCAACGCUUUUCCUCACCGAAAAGUGGCGGGUUACUUGAAAUGCAGGUGCAGCUGGACUUUUCUCUGAGCUAUAAGCAUAUCUAUUUAGUCUGCCUAAAAAACAGAUUAUUACCUUUGCUGCAGCUAACAUAAAGGAGAUUAGUUCUUGUGCUGACUGAUGCAGGAUUCACAAAGACGGCUUCGGCCGACUUUGUAAACUCGAUCUCAAAUCAAGUAAGACUACCCGCUGAACUUAAGCAUAUCAAUAAGCGGAGGA